RNAcentral lists this transfer RNA (67 nucleotides) under Insulaphylus sp. ph34. RNAcentral describes it as "tRNA-Phe". The record is from RNAcentral. Lineage: Eukaryota; Metazoa; Arthropoda; Insecta; Hemiptera; Miridae.
AUCUGGGUAGCUUAAUUUAUAAAGUUUAAUAUUGAAGAUAUUAAGAUAAGUUCAUACUUUUCAGAUA